GGGAGGACCAGGCAAAUCCGGGCCUCAUAUACUCUGAGACGUGAUACCGAGCCGCUUCAGGCGAAGUCAUUAAUCCUAUGCUGCCUAGAAAAGCCCAGUAGCGAGUUGACAUGGUGCCCGUACCCCAAACCAACACAGGUGGACAGGUAGAGCAUACCAAGGCGAGUGGGAUAACUAUGGUUAAGGAACUCGGCAAAUUUCCUCCGUAACUUCGGGAUAAGGAGGACCCCAGUAGCGUGACGAGACUUGCUCUCCGAGCGUGAAGGGGUGGCACAAAAUUGAGGGAAGCGACUGUUUACCAAAAACACAGCAGCGUGCUAAGCCGUAAGGCGCUGUAUACGCUGUGACUCCUGCCCGGUGCUGGAAGGUUACGGGGAUGGGUUAGCCCUUUGGGACGAAGCUCUGAACCUAAGCCCCAGUAAACGGCGGCCGUAACUAUAACGGUCCUAAGGUAGCGAAAUUCCUUGUCGGGUAAGUUCCGACCUGCACGAAUGGAGUAACGACUUCCCUACUGUCUCAACCAUAGACCCAGCGAAAUUGAAGUACGAGUAAAGAUGCUCGUUAGCUGCAGAAGGACGGAAAGACCCCGUGGACCUUUACUAUAACUUGAUGUUGUGUUUUGUCAUAUGUUGUGUAGGAUAGGUGGGAGACAAGGAAGCAUGGACGCUAGUCUGUGUGGAGUCAUCGUUGAAAUACCACCCUGCAUAUGGUGAGGCUCUAACCUAGACCCGUUAUCCGGGUUGGGGACAGCGUCAGGCGGGUAGUUUAACUGGGGCGGUUGCCUCCUAAAGAGUAACGGAGGCGCCCAAAGGUUCCCUCAGCCUGGUUGGCAAUCAGGCGUCGAGUGCAAUGGCAAAGGGAGCUUGACUGCGAGACCUACAAGUCGAGCAGGAGCGAAAGCUGGGCAUAGUGAUCCGGCGGUUGCGUGUGGAAGCGCCGUCGCUCAACGGAUAAAAGGUACCCCGGGGAUAACAGGCUAAUCUUGCCCAAGCGUCCAUAGCGACGGCAAGGUUUGGCACCUCGAUGUCGGCUCAUCGCAUCCUGGGGCUGAAGCAGGUCCCAAGGGUUGGGCUGUUCGCCCAUUAAAGCGGUACGCGAGCUGGGUUCAGAACGUCGUGAGACAGUUCGGUCCCUAUCCUCUGUAGCCGUAGGUGAAUUGAGGAAAGCUGUCCCUAGUACGAGAGGACCGGGACGGACGCAGCUCUCGUGUGCCAGUUGUCCUGCCAAGGGCAUGGCUGGUUAGCGACCUGCGGAAAGGAUAACCGCUGAAAGCAUCUAAGCGGGAAGCCUCUUCCAAGAUGAAUUCACCCACAGGGUUAACCUGGUAAGGCCCGUGGUAGACCACCACGUUGAUAGGCCGGAAGUGUAAGCGUGGCAACACGUUCAGCUGACCGGUACUAAUCGGC
RNAcentral lists this ribosomal RNA (1406 nucleotides) under metagenome. RNAcentral's name for it is "bacterial LSU rRNA". It matches the Rfam family "Bacterial large subunit ribosomal RNA", at positions 1525 to 2909 of the family's 2925-position model. The record is from RNAcentral.